GGUGCAUGGUUGUCGUCAGCUCGUGUCGUGAGAUGUUGGGUUAAGUCCCGCAACGAGCGCAACCCUUGAUUUUAGUUGCCAGCAUUUAGUUGGGCACUCUAAAGUGACUGCCGGUGCAAGCCGGAGGAAGGUGGGGAUGACGUCAAAUCAUCAUGCCCCUUAUGACCUGGGCUACACACGUGCUACAAUGGAUAGUACAAAGGGUCGCGAAGCCGCGAGGUGGAGCUAAUCCCAUAAAACUAUUCUCAGUUCGGAUUGUAGGCUGCAACUCGCCUACAUGAAGCCGGAAUCGCUAGUAAUCGUGGAUCAGCAUGCCACGGUGAAUACGUUCCCGGGCCUUGUACACACCGCCCGUCACACCACGAGAGUUUGUAACACCCGAAGUCGGUAGGGUAACCUUUAUGGAGCCAGCCGCCGAAGGUGGGACAGAUAAUUGGGGUGAAGUCGUAACAAGGUAGCCGUAUCGGAAGGUGCGGCUGGAUCACCUCCUUU
This 492-nucleotide ribosomal RNA is filed under the name Listeria monocytogenes. RNAcentral's name for it is "bacterial SSU rRNA". It matches the Rfam family "Bacterial small subunit ribosomal RNA", at positions 1040 to 1533 of the family's 1533-position model. Lineage: Bacteria; Bacillati; Bacillota; Bacilli; Caryophanales; Listeriaceae. The record is from RNAcentral.